RNAcentral lists this ribosomal RNA (301 nucleotides) under uncultured bacterium. RNAcentral describes it as "bacterial SSU rRNA". It matches the Rfam family "Bacterial small subunit ribosomal RNA", at positions 334 to 633 of the family's 1533-position model. The record is from RNAcentral.
UGCCCCUACGGGAGGCAGCAGUGAGGAAUAUUGGUCAAUGGGCUUACGCCUGAACCAGCCAAGCCGCGUGAGGGAAGACGGCCCUAUGGGUUGUAAACCUCUUUUGUCGGAGAACAAAACCCGGGACGUGUCCCGGACUGCGUGUAUCCGAAGAAAAAGCAUCGGCUAACUCCGUGCCAGCAGCCGCGGUAAUACGGAGGAUGCGAGCGUUAUCCGGAUUUAUUGGGUUUAAAGGGUGCGUAGGCGGUCUGUUAAGUCAGCGGUAAAAUUGCGGGGCUCAACCCCGUCGAGCCGUUGAAAC